Molecule: unclassified non-coding RNA, 333 nt
Filed under: soil metagenome
Description: partial contains 5.8S ribosomal RNA, internal transcribed spacer 2, and large subunit ribosomal RNA
Rfam family: 5.8S ribosomal RNA (bases 1-120)
Source: RNAcentral
GAUGAAGAACGUAGCAAAAUGCGAUAAGUAAUGUGAAUUGCAGAAUUCAGUGAAUCAUCGAAUCUUUGAACGCACAUUGCGCCCGCCAGUAUUCUGGCGGGCAUGCCUGUUCGAGCGUCAUUUCAACCCUCAAGCUCAGCUUGGUGUUGGGACUCGCGGUAACCCGCGUUCCCCAAAUCGAUUGGCGGUCACGUCGAGCUUCCAUAGCGUAGUAAUCAUACACCUCGUUACUGGUAAUCGUCGCGGCCACGCCGUAAAACCUCAACUUCUGAAUGUUGACCUCGGAUCAGGUAGGAAUACCCGCUGAACUUAAGCAUAUCAAUAAGCGGAGGA